This 253-nucleotide ribosomal RNA is filed under the name uncultured prokaryote. RNAcentral's name for it is "partial 16S ribosomal RNA". It matches the Rfam family "Bacterial small subunit ribosomal RNA", at positions 524 to 776 of the family's 1533-position model. The record is from RNAcentral.
UACAGAGGGUGCAAGCGUUAAUCGGAAUGACUGGGCGUAAAGCGCAUGUAGGUGGAUGAAUAAGUUUGAUGUGAAAUCCCUAGGCUUAACUUAGGAACUGCGUUGAAGACUGUUUAUCUAGAGUCUGGCAGAGGGCUGUGGAAUUUCCGGUGUAGCAGUGAAAUGCGUAGAGAUCGGAAAGAACACCAGCGGCGAAGGCGGCAGCCUGGGCCAAGACUGACACUGAGGUGCGAAAGCGUGGGGAGCAAACAGG